Molecule: Y RNA, 112 nt
Filed under: Propithecus coquereli (Coquerel's sifaka)
Lineage: Eukaryota; Metazoa; Chordata; Mammalia; Primates; Indriidae
Description: Y RNA (ENSPCOG00000008408.1)
Rfam family: Y RNA
About the family: Y RNAs are components of the Ro ribonucleoprotein particle (Ro RNP), in association with Ro60 and La proteins. The Y RNAs and Ro60 and La proteins are well conserved, but the function of the Ro RNP is not known. In humans the RNA component can be one of four small RNAs -- hY1, hY3, hY4 and hY5.
Source: Rfam by way of RNAcentral
AGCGGGUCCGAAGGUAGUGAGUUAUCUCUCUUGAUUGUUCACAGUCAGUUACAGAUUAAACUCCUUGCUCUACUCUUUCCCCCUUCUCACUACUGCAUUUGACUAGUCUUAA